Molecule: ribosomal RNA, 495 nt
Filed under: uncultured bacterium
Lineage: Bacteria
Description: partial 16S ribosomal RNA
Rfam family: Bacterial small subunit ribosomal RNA
Source: RNAcentral
GACGAACGCUGGCGGCGUGCCUAAUACAUGCAAGUAGAACGCUGAAGGAGGAGCUUGCUUCUCUGGAUGAGUUGCGAACGGGUGAGUAACGCGUAGGUAACCUGCCUGGUAGCGGGGGAUAACUAUUGGAAACGAUAGCUAAUACCGCAUAAGAGUAGAUGUUGCAUGACAUUUGCUUAAAAGGUGCAAUUGCAUCACUACCAGAUGGACCUGCGUUGUAUUAGCUAGUUGGUGGGGUAACGGCUCACCAAGGCGACGAUACAUAGCCGACCUGAGAGGGUGAUCGGCCACACUGGGACUGAGACACGGCCCAGACGCCUACGGGAGGCAGCAGGAGGGAAUCUUCGGCAAUGGACGGAAGUCUGAACGAGCAACGCCGCGUGAGUGAAGAAGGGUUUCGGAUCGUAAAGAUCGGUUGUAAGAGAAGAACGAGUGUGAGAGUGGAAAGUUCACACUGUGACGGUAUCUUACCAGAAAGGGACGGCUAACUACGUG